UAACAACUCACUAUUCCACCCCUGAAAACAGGGUUUUACUCUAUCACCCAGGCUGGAGUACAGAGGCACCAUCUCAGCUUACUGCAGCCUUGACCUCUCAGGCUCAACAGAUCCUCCCACUUCAGCCUCCUGACUAGCUGGGGCUACAGGCGCGCGCCACCACAUCCGGCACUGGGGAAGAAGCAUUUCUAACAGGAGCCUGCAUGCUGAGGAUGGCAGAGGAAAAAGACAGAGCCAUACUGAGCCCUUGGAGAUGCCACUGAGGAGCUACGCUAACCAAUCCUGGAGGCACCAUAACCUAGGACUUCUUCUUAUACAAGGAUGCUAGAGAGCAGUCUUCAGCCUGAGACCCAUCUCUAGCUUCUAACAACUCAGUAUACUCCUAUGAACAAAAUUUGGAGCAUAUUUGUUUCUCUCUACCUGAUUUCUUCAGACUGUGGAAACUAUUUGAAUCAAACUUGACUUAUGGAUCCAAUAAAGCCCUUGGAAAAACUGGCCUCAUAUUUUGUGUAAACAGUCCCCGUACAGGGUUUCUGACUUGUGUUUUCCUAAUUUGGAAUCACUGAAAACUAAGUUUUGCUUUCUUAAAACCCUGUGAACUGAAGCCAGACAACUUAAACUUCAGAAGAAAAUAACAGCAACCUAUUUGCAUACAUAAGCCACUUGCAUACCUGCCUACUAAUGUAUGGACUUCAGAGUAAUGUGGCUGAUAUACAUUUUUCCAGGAUUGUUCUUUUGUUUAUUGUUGUUUUUCUCCCUUCUUCCCCCAAUUUUCUCUUCAUAGGACAUGAGACUUCACAGCCUGCUAAAAAUAAGCUUUUGGGACCUACCCAUUUAGGAAUAAACAGUCCUAGCCUUGAGAGAUCAGAUGAAAUCUGAGGCCAGAGACUCAUUUUCUUCUAAAAUGCUUUCUCCAAAAGAUUUUUAAAUAGAAAAGAGGGGAAAUGUGAAAGGAAAAUGUCUUCAGCCCCUUCAAGCUGGGAACUCUCAGUACAAAUCUGUCUCUCAUUCUAUUCAAAGUCAUUUCUCUGCUCAGAGAUAGAUGCAUAUUCUGAUUGCCUUCUUUGGAAAGACUUACCAGAAACUCAAAAGAAUGCAACCAUCUGUCUCUCACCUACCUGUGACCUGGAAGCCCAUAGGGUAAAGGGGGCUUGCUUUGAGUUGUCUCUACUUUUCUGAAUGGAAUGAAUGUACUUCUUACAUUUAUUGAUUGAUGUCUCAUGUUUCCCUAAAAUGUAUAAAACCAAUCUGUGCCCCGGCCACCCUGGGCAUGUGUUGUCAGGACUUCCUAAGGCUAUGUCACAGGUGCAUCCUCAACUUUGGCAAAUAAACUUUCUAAAUUAACUGAGA
RNAcentral lists this long non-coding RNA (1350 nucleotides) under Homo sapiens (human). Its description in RNAcentral is "HSALNT0295021". Lineage: Eukaryota; Metazoa; Chordata; Mammalia; Primates; Hominidae. The record is from RNAcentral.